This 284-nucleotide ribosomal RNA is filed under the name uncultured bacterium. RNAcentral's name for it is "partial 16S ribosomal RNA". It matches the Rfam family "Bacterial small subunit ribosomal RNA", at positions 28 to 311 of the family's 1533-position model. The record is from RNAcentral.
GACGAACGCUGGCGGCGUGCCUAACACAUGCAAGUCGCACGGGACCGGGGGCAACUCCGGUUCAGUGGCAGACGGGUGCGUAACACGUGAGGAACCUGUCCAACGGCGGGGGAUAGCCGGCCUAACGGCCGGGUAAUACCGCGUACGAUCGUCCGGGGGCAUCCCUGGGCGAUGAAAGCAGCCGCAAGGUUGCGCCGAUGGAGGGCCUCGCGGCCUAUCAGCUAGUUGGCGGGUAACGCCACCAAGGCGACGACGGUAGCUGGUCUGAGAGGAUGGCCAGCCAC